GACUUAAGAAAAUCCGUCGACUUUAUAAAUCGUGAGG
Molecule: transfer RNA, 37 nt
Filed under: Hypericum perforatum
Lineage: Eukaryota; Viridiplantae; Streptophyta; Magnoliopsida; Malpighiales; Hypericaceae
Also listed under: 7 other names
Description: partial tRNA-Leu
Source: RNAcentral